AAGAAUCUUUCUGAGAAGCUAGUGGUCCCUGGUUGCCGUGCUCAUUGUCACCUAAGAGCAGCAUUGAAACUCUUCUCUUGGAAACUCAGAACUUCUGGAAGCAUCAUGUCUUCUUACUGACUUUCUGCCUUUGCUGUUUCCCACCCUACUCCCGUGUUUUAGUGGCUCUCACAUUGAAAACUGGCACUCUAUCCUGAGGAAUGGUCUGGUCGUUGCCUCUAACACACGUCUGCAGCUCCACGGUGCGAUGUACGGAAGUGGGAUCUAUCUUAGCCCAAUGUCGAGCAUAUCGUUUGGUUACUCAGGUAAUCCAGCACUGCUACUUGAUGAGCUGGGGGAUGUCGGAGGUGAACUGAAAGCAUACGUUGUAGGCAGUCUGGAAAAUUUUAAAUGUGGAAAGAAUGAUCUUCUGUUUAUUGGCAUUGAGUAGUGGAAUUUAUGGUUAGUAUGUCUUUGCAUUUUUAAAAUUUGACUAUGGAGUAAUUAAACACUUUGUAAACAGAUUUAAAUUACACAGAAUAAAAGAAAUCAAAUAAC
RNAcentral lists this long non-coding RNA (537 nucleotides) under Rattus norvegicus (Norway rat). Its description in RNAcentral is "long non-coding RNA NONRATT016115". Lineage: Eukaryota; Metazoa; Chordata; Mammalia; Rodentia; Muridae. The record is from RNAcentral.